CCCUGGUUGGCUCAGUUGGUAGAGCGCUCCAGUGGAAACGCAGAGGUCCCAGGUUCGAUACCCGGACCAGGUG
Molecule: transfer RNA, 73 nt
Filed under: Ixodes scapularis (black-legged tick)
Lineage: Eukaryota; Metazoa; Arthropoda; Arachnida; Ixodida; Ixodidae
Rfam family: tRNA
About the family: Transfer RNA (tRNA) molecules are approximately 80 nucleotides in length.
Source: Rfam by way of RNAcentral